RNAcentral lists this ribosomal RNA (254 nucleotides) under uncultured bacterium. RNAcentral's name for it is "partial 16S ribosomal RNA". It matches the Rfam family "Bacterial small subunit ribosomal RNA", at positions 524 to 776 of the family's 1533-position model. The record is from RNAcentral.
UACGUAGGAGACGAGCGUUGUCCGGAGUUACUGGGCGUAAAGCGUGCGCAGGCGGUCUGUUAAGACCGAUGUGAAAUCCCCGGGCUUAACCUGGGAACUGCAUUGGUGACUGGCAGGCUUUGAGUGUGGCAGAGGGAGGUAGAAUUCCACGUGUAGCAGUGAAAUGCGUAGAGAUGUGGAGGAAUACCGAUGGCGAAGGCAGCCUCCUGGGCCAACACUGACGCUCAUGCACGAAAGCGUGGGGAGCAAACAGG